GGGUCUGUAGCUCAGCUGGUCAGAGCUCCGAGCUUAUACCUCGGUGGUCCUUGGUUCGAAUCCAAGCAGACCCACCA
Molecule: transfer RNA, 77 nt
Filed under: Parcubacteria group bacterium RIFCSPHIGHO2_02_FULL_48_10b
Lineage: Bacteria
Description: tRNA-Ile
Rfam family: tRNA
About the family: Transfer RNA (tRNA) molecules are approximately 80 nucleotides in length. Their secondary structure includes four short double-helical elements and three loops (D, anti-codon, and T loops).
Source: RNAcentral